Molecule: ribosomal RNA, 445 nt
Filed under: uncultured bacterium
Lineage: Bacteria
Description: SSU rRNA
Rfam family: Bacterial small subunit ribosomal RNA
Source: RNAcentral
AGAGCGAACGCUGGCGGCAGGCCUAAUACAUGCAAGUCGAACGGACCCUUCGGGGUUAGUGGCGGACGGGUGAGUAACACGUGGGAACGUGCCCUUUGGUUCGGAACAACUCAGGGAAACUUGAGCUAAUACCGAAUGUGCCCUUCGGGGGAAAGAUUUAUCGCCAUUGGAGCGGCCCGCGUCUGAUUAGCUAGUUGGUGAGGUAAAGGCUCACCAAGGCUACGAUCAGUAGCUGGUCUGAGAGGAUGAUCAGCCACACUGGGACUGAGACACGGCCCAGACUCCUACGGGAGGCAGCAGUAGGGAAUCUUGCGCAAUGGGCGAAAGCCUGACGCAGCCAUGCCGCGUGAAUGAUGAAGGUCUUAGGAUUGUAAAAUUCUUUCAGCGGGGACGAUAAUGACGGUACCCGCAGAAGAAGCCCGGCUAACUUCGUGCCAGCAGCCGC